AAAAAACCGAUUCUGAGCACAAUAUUACUAAUGAUUUUGUCCCAUAGCCAAUAAGUAACCCAGAAAACAACACAAAUUAAAACCGAUUUAUCGACAUUGAUUGUUACGGCGUUUUUUUUGAUUUUAUAGAAUAUAUAUUAUAUUAAUUUAGACAUUUUAUUCAUAUAUUGUACAACAGGGUGAAAAAUCCACAUCUUUUAAGGUACGGUGCGAAUAAUUUGGCUCCGGAAAAUUAUUCAUAACAUGGUAAAGUAACGUUUAAGAAACCAAAUGUUCACCAUAAAACAAAUAGCACUUUCACCGCGCCAAAUUAAUUUUAGUUUUUCCAUAUCACUGAAUUACGAAAUAAUUUAUUCUAGUUUGAAUUUAUAACCUUCUUUUUGAGAGGUUUGUAUUAUUCGUAGGUAUAAUAUACCAAUAUCGAAAACAUAUAAUA
Molecule: non-coding RNA, 436 nt
Organism: Cinara cedri
Lineage: Eukaryota; Metazoa; Arthropoda; Insecta; Hemiptera; Aphididae
Source: the annotation of a GenBank genome assembly